RNAcentral lists this ribosomal RNA (427 nucleotides) under uncultured bacterium. Its description in RNAcentral is "bacterial SSU rRNA". It matches the Rfam family "Bacterial small subunit ribosomal RNA", at positions 355 to 775 of the family's 1533-position model. The record is from RNAcentral.
UGGGGAAUCUUGCGCAAUGGGCGAAAGCCUGACGCAGCGACGCCGCGUGCGGGAAGAAGGCCUUCGGGUUGUAAACCGCUUUCAGGGGGGACGAAGCCACUCGGGUUAAUAGCCCAGAGGGUGACGGUACCUCCAGAAGAAGCCCCGGCUAACUACGUGCCAGCAGCCGCGGUAAUACGUAGGGGGCAAGCGUUGUCCGGAUUUAUUGGGCGUAAAGCGCGUGUAGGCGGCCAUGCAGGUCCGCUGUGAAAACUAGAGGCUCAACCUCUAGAGGUCGGUGGAAACCGCAUGGCUAGAGUCCGGAAGAGGAGACUGGAAUUCCCGGUGUAGCGGUGGAAUGCGCAGAUAUCGGGAGGAACACCCGUGGCGAAGGCGGGUCUCUGGGACGGUACUGACGCUGAGACGCGAAAGCGUGGGGAGCGAACAG